UUAUGUAAUAGGUAAUGUUUACGUUUUCCAGUGUAAUUUAAAAGAAAAUUGUGAAAUUUUGUCUUUAUUCCUCAUUUACGCAAUUGUUACCUAGUAUUAUAGAUAAAUAAUAAUCAAGUGAAAAGUUUAAACUAAUUACAACCGUUUUUCGGAGUAUUGUGGGCUAUACUUUGUAAAGUUCCUGCACAAGUUCAACUUCUACCAAUUUUACAUCAAGAAUACAGUUGAAAAAUGUUAUACUCCCGAUUACACUUCUGCAUAGGAUAGGACUGCAAAUCUACGAUAAGAACAGAAGUAACCGAUGCAAAGAUUCUCAAAAUCUUUCAAAGGACGUGGAAGGAGCCCUACGCAAAGACAAUAAGGGCAGAAGUAACCGUUUCUCCCUUACUGUAGCGUCUAAGACUGUCAUAAUGACAUGAGGGACGUAGAAAGAGCCCUACGCAAGGACAAUAUGGACAGAAAUAACCAUUUCUCCUGUAUUAUAGGGGCGAAGACUCUCAAAAUAUAUCAGGCGACAUGAAAGAAGCCCCAAGUAGCCAAUAAGAACAGAAGUAACCGGGUCUAAGACUGUCAUAAUCACAUGAGGGACGUAGAAAGAGCCUCACGCAAGGACAAUAUGGUCAGAAACACCGGUGAGCAUUUUGCACCCUUCACAUU
Molecule: long non-coding RNA, 657 nt
Organism: Agrilus planipennis (emerald ash borer)
Lineage: Eukaryota; Metazoa; Arthropoda; Insecta; Coleoptera; Buprestidae
Exons: 5
Source: RefSeq, a predicted model, not a curated record